AGAACGAACGCUGGCGGCAGGCUUAACACAUGCAAGUCGAACGCCCCGCAAGGGGAGUGGCAGACGGGUGAGUAACGCGUGGGAAUCUACCCAGAUCUACGGAACAACAGUUGGAAACGACUGCUAAUACCGUAUACGCCCUACGGGGGAAAGAUUUAUCGGAUUUGGAUGAGCCCGCGUAAGAUUAGCUAGUUGGUGGGGUAAUGGCCUACCAAGGCGACGAUCUUUAGCUGGUCUGAGAGGAUGAUCAGCCACACUGGGACUGAGACACGGCCCAGACUCCUACGGGAGGCAGCAGUGGGGAAUAUUGGACAAUGGGCGCAAGCCUGAUCCAGCCAUGCCGCGUGAGUGAUGAAGGCCUUAGGGUUGUAAAGCUCUUUCAGUAGGGAAGAUAAUGACGGUACCUACAGAAGAAGCCCCGGCUAACUUCGUGCCAGCAGCCGCGGUAAUACGAAGGGGGCUAGCGUUGUUCGGAUUUACUGGGCGUAAAGCGCACGUAGGCGGUUUGUUAAGUCAGGGGUGAAAUCCCGGAGCUCAACUCCGGAACUGCCUUUGAUACUGGCAAGCUAGAGUCCGGAAGAGGUAAGUGGAACUCC
This 596-nucleotide ribosomal RNA is filed under the name uncultured Devosia sp. Its description in RNAcentral is "bacterial SSU rRNA". It matches the Rfam family "Bacterial small subunit ribosomal RNA", at positions 26 to 670 of the family's 1533-position model. The record is from RNAcentral. Lineage: Bacteria; Pseudomonadati; Pseudomonadota; Alphaproteobacteria; Hyphomicrobiales; Devosiaceae.